RNAcentral lists this ribosomal RNA (253 nucleotides) under uncultured bacterium. Its description in RNAcentral is "partial 16S ribosomal RNA". It matches the Rfam family "Bacterial small subunit ribosomal RNA", at positions 524 to 776 of the family's 1533-position model. The record is from RNAcentral.
UACAGAGGUCCCAAGCGUUGUUCGGAUUCAUUGGGCGUAAAGGGUGCGUAGGCGGCGCGGUAAGUCGGGUGUGAAAUCUCGGAGCUUAACUCCGAAACUGCAUUCGAUACUGCCGUGCUUGAGGACUGGAGAGGAGACUGGAAUUUACGGUGUAGCGGUGAAAUGCGUAGAUAUCGUAAGGAAGACCAGUGGCGAAGGCGGGUCUCUGGACAGUUCCUGACGCUGAGGCACGAAGGCCAGGGGAGCGAACGGG